This 68-nucleotide transfer RNA is filed under the name Chrysomeloidea sp. 6 KM-2017. RNAcentral's name for it is "tRNA-Tyr". Lineage: Eukaryota; Metazoa; Arthropoda; Insecta; Coleoptera. The record is from RNAcentral.
GGUAAAGUGGCCGAACAUUUAGGUGAUAGACUGUAAAUUUAUUCAUGAAAUAAUAAUUUCCUUUACCA